RNAcentral lists this long non-coding RNA (699 nucleotides) under Anolis carolinensis (green anole). RNAcentral's name for it is "lncRNA (ENSACAG00000039949.1)". Lineage: Eukaryota; Metazoa; Chordata; Lepidosauria; Squamata; Anolidae. The record is from RNAcentral.
AUGUGGUUUGCAGACUCCAAGGAGCAGAAGAAGAUGGAGACCCCCAAAACGAGUUCCUUCCCAGCCAAGAAGGCGGCCCCUCCGCCACCACCCGUUCCGGCCAAGGCCAAGCCGGCCCCCACAGCACCCCAAAAGUACUCCAAUGGCCCCGUUUCCUUCCCUGCCACCCCUGCGGUGAAGGCCAAAGCCAAAGGGACAGAAACCGACACUUUGGACGCGGUUGUGACUCCUGGGGUCAAACUGACCCAUCCCACGGCCAACCGCCCCAAGAUGCCCGGCAAGAGGCCACCCAACCAGCUGGUUGAGAAAGGGCCUGUUCACCCCUCGAACCCGGCAGAAAACCCCCAAAACCCUGAACAGCAGUCUCCCCAUCCAAUGUCUGAAAAAACCACAAAUGAAGAAUCAUUGACAUCUGUGGACGACUUCAAGGCCGAACUCCGGACACUGAGGGGCCUCAUGGACCUGAUGCAAACCCAGCAUCGGAAAGAAAUUGAAGAGUUGAAGGCGGAAAUGAGCCGUGAACAGGCCAAGAGGGAAGCUCUGCAGGUCGACAUUGAGCACCUGAGGCAAGCGCUGGCCAUUCCUAGACGGGGUGGACCAGACCCCAAAAAGCUCAGCCCCACUCUGAACCUGGAUCUGGCGGAUCCCCAGGGCUCUCCGUUCACUUUGGAUGCAUUCAUGAUUCCCACCAAGGACUGA